This 105-nucleotide small nucleolar RNA is filed under the name Ricinus communis (castor bean). RNAcentral's name for it is "Plant small nucleolar RNA R71". It matches the Rfam family "Plant small nucleolar RNA R71". Rfam says of the family: R71 is a member of the C/D box family of snoRNAs containing the C (UGAUGA) and D (CUGA) box motifs. The record is from Rfam by way of RNAcentral. Lineage: Eukaryota; Viridiplantae; Streptophyta; Magnoliopsida; Malpighiales; Euphorbiaceae.
AAACCGUGGUGUAGGUAACAUCUCAACAAGUCCUUGUACCUCUCCCACACAUCAUACAUGCUCUCAUCAUCAAACUACACAAAGGAGGAAAUAUCAGUACAUUUU